CGCAUUUCUUCUCCUCCUUUUUCUUCUUCUUCUUCUUCUUCUUCUUCUUUCGUCCAAGAUUGAGCAGUGAUAUCAGCAGACAAAUAGGAUAGCUGGAUCCAAACAGCACUCAUCAAUAAGAAAGCAGCAGCAUAGGGCAGCAACGGGACACUCUAGUGAGUGGAGAAAUCAUAACAAAAACCAUAGUAUGUGAUCUCCAUUUCACCGAAGAAAUACAAGUGUGCAAAGUUCAGACAUGCUGUAACAAGGGACUACUACUUUGAAAUGUAUUAUGAUGAUAUGCCUCUAUGGGGAUUCUUGGGCAAGACUUGGAGGGACAAGACUGAUUCGGGCAAAGACAAUCACUUGUUCUUUAAACGCAUCCAUUUCAAUAUUCUUUACAAUGAUGAUAGGGUCAUAUAGAUCAAUGUCCAAACAGACUACAACAUUAUUGUGGAUAUCUCGGAGGAUAAGGAAUUGGAUGUAGAGUUUUUAUAUUCUGUUACAUGGAAAAAGACUGACAUAUCUUUUGAAAAAAGGACAUUGACCAUCUGCUUUCUGCUUGAUUGCCUGAUAGCUUAUUGGAGUCACGAAGAUGGAGAUAUCUGCGCUGGUGUUGGCUUGUGGUUUGAGGGUCGGAACUGAUGGAACCAAUCUUAAGUACAAGAUUUGAUCUUGUUUGGGCUAUCCAUUAGCAUUGCAUUUGGUGUAGUACUUCACGGUUCUAUGUCUUGGGGACUUCGUGUGUGGUUUGCUAUGUCAAUUUCUCGUUCUGCUUUGACAUAAACACUUUCAAGCUUGAAAUUUUGAUUACAGCUUCACCGCAGAUACUUCAAGUGUGUUCAAAGGCAGCAAAUACUUCAAGAUCGAGCAGUGAUAUCAGCCGAGAAAUAGGAUGGCUGGAUCCAAGCAGCACUCAUCAGUAAGAAAGCAGCAGCAUAGGGCAGCAAGGCUGCAAAACAAAACAUUCUAGUUAGUGGAGAAAUCAGCACAAAAACCAUAAGUCUAAGAACCGGUGCCGGCCUUUAGAUCCACGCGCGAGCCGUCCGCAAAGAAGUAUCCCUCCUGCCGAUCGCUGCCAAGAAGAUUCCACGGCUCGCUCGGUCUUGUAGACGUCAGCGAAGGCGACAGCGUGGACAGGGAAGGGUGUGCUGAUGACCUAGUUGGCGAGGAGAAGGGAGCGCAGAGAAGCGAGGGGCGAGAAGACAAAGUGCCUUCAUCUUCUUUGAACCCCAUCGCCCCGUUCGGUCUUGCUCGACUCAGAAACAAAGAUGGAGGUAUCUGCGCUGGUGUUGCCUUGUGGCGUGAGGGUGGGAGCUGAUGGAAGGUACAAGAUUUGGUGUUGUAUUGGCAAUCCGUUGGCAUUGCAUUCGGCAGCAUGCUUCCGAGGCCAAGUGCUUCACAGUGUUCUCUUCACCAGAGGGUUGGAGCUGAUGGAACCAAUAAUAAAGGUGCUUCACAGUGCCAUCAAGGUCAGACCUUUCCACAACGCCAAGUGAUUUCUUUUCGAUUCUUACCACACCACCACUUUGGUCUGUUCUAUGUAGAGGCUCCACCGGCAUAUUCAUCUUCUUCUACUGCAUAUGCUACUAUCACGUGAGAUCAGACAUGUCAGGCUUCAUGCAAACAUCAUUCUUUUUUAGUUAUAUGACUUGCAUUUGCUAUGGAUUCUUCCUUAUGCUGGGGACUGUCGGUCUGUGCCUAUAUGCUGUUCGUGUGGCACAUAUAUUGGGACAUCGAAUCUUCACAGCAGAUACUUCAAGUGUGUUUAAAGACAGCAAAUACUUCAAGAUGGAGCAGAGUGAUAUCAGCAGAGAAAUAGGAUGGCUGGAUCCAAGCAGCACUCAUCAACAAGAAAUCAGCAGCAGAAUAGGGCGGCAAGGCUGCGAAACAAAACAUUCUAGUUAGUGGAGAAGUCAUCAAAAAACCGUAUGAGAAAGGACAUUGAUCAUCUGCUUUCUGCUUGAUUACCUGAUAGCAUAUUGGACUAACGAAGAUGGAGAUAUCUGCACUGGUGUUGGCUUGUGGUUUGAGGGUCGGAGCUGACGGAACCUAUCAUAAGUGCAAGAUUUAAUCUUGUAUGGGCUAUCCAUUGGCAUUGCAUUUCGUGAAGUGCUUCACGGUUCUGUCUUCGGGACUUUGUGUGGUUUGCCAUGUCAAUUUCUCGUUCUGCUUUGACAUGUUUGAAGUCUGCCUCUUUCUUUGACUACAAUAUUUUUUAUUCAUCUUCUUGAAUUUUUUAGCAAUUUUAGUUACAUUGGUCUUUCUUGGAUGCAGAAACACUUUCAAGCGUGAAAUUUUGAUUGCAGCUUCCGAGCAGAUACUUCAAGUGUGUUCAAAGGCAGCAAAUACUUCAAGAUCAAGCACUGAUAUCUGCCGACAAAUAGGAUGGCUGGAUCCAAGCAGCACUCAUCAGUAAGAAACCAGCAGCAAGGGCAGCAAGGCUGCAAAACAAAGCUUUCUAAGUGGAGAAAUCAUCACAAAAACCAUAACAUACAUAGGGAGGCUACUGCCACUACAAGCACCACAUUCACGACCAACUGUUGCUGUUGGAUUAGACACAGGAAACCUAAUUGCUGGAGGUGCCCAUGGGGAAGAUGUCUAAUGGUGCAGUGCUCCAAGGGAUGUGCAUACCUGUGCAACUGAUGUUGUAGAGAUUGGCAUUGAUGGUGGCCUCCUAUGUACAGACUUGCUCUAACUUCCAAACCUAUCUAUUGUAUCGAAAUGUCAACAGGGACAAUCGAGCUAUCGUUUGCUUGAGCAUCGAGAGAAUAGAUUCUAGUUUUUUUAACUGAAACUACACUGAUGAUCUCCAUGCUGUAGAAAUCUCAAUUUGGUGGGGUUGUAUAGUUAUUGCCCAUUUGACAGUGGUGAGUAGAUGUUGCUAAAUAUAUGAUCAGUGAGUGUGCUAGCAUUAGUGGUGUGUAGAUGUUGCUAAAUAUACGAUCAGUGAGUGAAUUAGCAGUGUCAAGGUUUGUGUGUACCACAGGAAUUAGCACUGUAAAUGCAGUAGUUGCAUCUCAUUUCUAUUCUUUUGCUCUUUGGUUGAUCAUUCAUGGUUUAAGUCAAAUGAAUGAGCAAUCAAUUACACUAAUGAAAACUAGUUA
Molecule: long non-coding RNA, 3086 nt
Organism: Musa acuminata AAA Group (dessert banana)
Lineage: Eukaryota; Viridiplantae; Streptophyta; Magnoliopsida; Zingiberales; Musaceae
Exons: 8
Source: RefSeq, a predicted model, not a curated record